RNAcentral lists this ribosomal RNA (418 nucleotides) under uncultured bacterium. Its description in RNAcentral is "bacterial SSU rRNA". It matches the Rfam family "Bacterial small subunit ribosomal RNA", at positions 541 to 957 of the family's 1533-position model. The record is from RNAcentral.
UUGUCCGGAAUUACUGGGCGUAAAGGGUGCGUAGGCGGUCUAUUAAGUUGGAUGUGAAAUCCCCGGGCUUAACUUGGGGUCUGCAUCCAAUACUGGGAGACUAGAGUGCAGGAGAGGGAAGCGGAAUUCCUAGUGUAGCGGUGAAAUGCGUAGAUAUUAGGAGGAACACCAGUGGCGAAGGCGGCUUUCUGGACUGUAACUGACGCUGAGGCACGAAAGCGUGGGGAGCAAACAGGAUUAGAUACCCUGGUAGUCCACGCUGUAAACGAUGAAUACUAGGUGUAGGGGGUAUCAACUCCCCCUGUGCCGGAGCAAACGCAAUAAGUAUUCCGCCUGGGGAGUACGGCCGCCAGGUUGAAACUCAAAGGAAUUGACGGGGGCCCGCACAAGCAGCGGAGCAUGUGGUUUAAUUCGAAGC